Molecule: ribosomal RNA, 1388 nt
Filed under: uncultured bacterium
Lineage: Bacteria
Description: partial 16S ribosomal RNA
Rfam family: Bacterial small subunit ribosomal RNA
Source: RNAcentral
AGAGUUUGAUCCUGGCUCAGGAUGAACGCUGGCGGCGUGCCUAACACAUGCAAGUCGAGCGAGAUGUUCAUGAAGAAUCCUUCGGGUGCCUGAUUGGACGGAAAGCGGCGGACGGGUGAGUAACGCGUAGGUAACCUGCCCUGUACAAAGGGAUAGCCACUGGAAACGGUGAUUAAUACCUUAUGAUACCGGAUGAUCACAUGGUCGACCGGUCAAAGAUUUAUCGGUACAGGAUGGACCUGCGUCUGAUUAGCUGGUUGGUAAGGUAACGGCUUACCAAGGCGACGAUCAGUAGCCGACCUGAGAGGGUGAUCGGCCACAUUGGAACUGAGACACGGUCCAAACUCCUACGGGAGGCAGCAGUGGGGAAUAUUGCACAAUGGGGGAAACCCUGAUGCAGCAACGCCGCGUGAACGAAGAAGGCUCUUGGGUCGUAAAGUUCUGUUCUGAGGGAAGAAAACAAUGACGGUACCUCAGGAGAAAGCCCCGGCUAACUACGUGCCAGCAGCCGCGGUAAUACGUAGGGGGCAAGCGUUGUCCGGAAUUACUGGGCGUAAAGAGUACGUAGGCGGUCUUGUAAGCGUAUGGUGAAAGGCAUCGGCUCAACCAGUGUCAGCCGUGCGAACUGCGAGACUUGAGUGCGGGAGAGGAAAGCGGAAUUCCUGGUGUAGCGGUGAAAUGCGUAGAUAUCAGGAGGAACACCGGUGGCGAAGGCGGCUUUCUGGACCGUAACUGACGCUGAGGUACGAAAGCGUGGGGAGCAAACAGGAUUAGAUACCCUGGUAGUCCACGCAGUAAACGAUGAUAACUAACCGUCGGCGAUAGACAGUCGGUGGCCAAGCGAAAGCGAUAAGUUAUCCACCUGGGGAGUACGACCGCAAGGUUGAAACUCAAAGGAAUUGACGGGGGCCCGCACAAGCGGAGGAACAUGUGGUUUAAUUCGAUGAUACGCGAGGAACCUUACCCGGGCUCGAACGGCUGGUGAACGACACAGAGAUGUGAAGGUCCUUCGGGACGCCAGUCGAGGUGCUGCAUGGUUGUCGUCAGCUCGUGCCGUGAGGUGUCGGCUCAAGUGCCAUAACGAGCGCAACCCUUGCUGUCAGUUACCAACAGUUUAAGCUGGGGACUCUGACAGGACUGCCACCGCAAGGUGAGAGGAAGGAGGGGAUGACGUCAAAUCAGCACGGCCCUUACGUCCGGGGCGACACACGUGUUACAAUGGGGGGUACAGAAGGCAGCCACCUGGUGACAGGGCGCUAAUCCCAAAAACCCUCCUCAGUUCGGACUGGAGUCUGCAACCCGACUCCACGAAGCUGGAUUCGCUAGUAAUCGCGCAUCAGCCAUGGCGCGGUGAAUACGUUCCCGGGCCUUGCACACACCGCCCGUCA